GAUGAACGCUGGCGACGUGCUUAACACAUGCAAGUCGAACGAAGCGCCUUAUUUGAUUUUCUUCGGAACUGAAGAUUUGGUGACUGAGUGGCGGACGGGUGAGUAACGCGUGGGUAACCUACCCUGUACAGGGGGAUAACAAUCAGAAAUGACUGCUAAUACCGCAUAAGACCACAGCACCGCAUGGUGCAGGGGUAAAAACUCCGGUGGUACAGGAUGGACCCGCGUCUGAUUAGCUGGUUGGUGAGGUAACGGCUCACCAAGGCGACGAUCAGUAGCCGGCUUGAGAGAGUGAACGGCCACAUUGGGACUGAGACACGGCCCAAACUCCUACGGGAGGCAGCAGUGGGGAAUAUUGCACAAUGGGGGGAACCCUGAUGCAGCGACGCCGCGUGAGUGAAGAAGUAUUUCGGUAUGUAAAGCUCUAUCAGCAGGGAAGAAAAUGACGGUACCUGACUAAGAAGCCC
RNAcentral lists this ribosomal RNA (467 nucleotides) under uncultured bacterium. RNAcentral's name for it is "bacterial SSU rRNA". It matches the Rfam family "Bacterial small subunit ribosomal RNA", at positions 28 to 493 of the family's 1533-position model. The record is from RNAcentral.